CCGAGUUUUACAACUCCCAAACCCAAUGUGAACGUUACCAAAACUGUUGCCUCGGCGGGAUCUUCUGCCCCGGGUGCGUCGCAGCCCCGGACCAAGGCGCCAGCCGGAGGACCAACGCAAAACUCUAUAUUAGGUAUACCCCCUCGCGGGUUUUUUUUAUAAUCUGAGCCUUCUCGGCGCCUCUCGUAGGCGUUUCGAAAAUGAAUC
RNAcentral lists this unclassified non-coding RNA (207 nucleotides) under soil metagenome. RNAcentral describes it as "partial internal transcribed spacer 1". The record is from RNAcentral.